RNAcentral lists this transfer RNA (70 nucleotides) under human gut metagenome. It matches the Rfam family "tRNA". Rfam says of the family: Transfer RNA (tRNA) molecules are approximately 80 nucleotides in length. The record is from RNAcentral.
GCUUGUAGCUCAGGUGGUUAGAGCGCACGCCUGAUAAGCGUGAGGUCGAUGGUUCGAAUCCAUCCAGGCC